RNAcentral lists this transfer RNA (76 nucleotides) under Alphaproteobacteria bacterium. RNAcentral describes it as "tRNA-Trp". It matches the Rfam family "tRNA". From Rfam's summary of the family: Transfer RNA (tRNA) molecules are approximately 80 nucleotides in length. Their secondary structure includes four short double-helical elements and three loops (D, anti-codon, and T loops). Further hydrogen bonds mediate the characteristic L-shaped molecular structure. tRNAs have two regions of fundamental functional importance: the anti-codon, which is responsible for specific mRNA codon recognition, and the 3' end, to which the tRNAs corresponding amino acid is attached (by aminoacyl-tRNA synthetases). tRNAs cope with the degeneracy of the genetic code in two manners: having more than one tRNA (with a specific anti-codon) for a particular amino acid; and 'wobble' base-pairing, i.e. permitting non-standard base-pairing at the 3rd anti-codon position. Lineage: Bacteria; Pseudomonadati; Pseudomonadota; Alphaproteobacteria. The record is from RNAcentral.
AGGAGUGUAGCUCAACUGGUAGAGCGCCGGUCUCCAAAACCGGAGGUUGCGGGUUCGAGACCUGCCACUCCUGCCA